CUCCUCCCUGCGCUUGAUUCCAAAGCUGCAGAGGUCAGAGUUAUAGGACUGGGAGGCUUAAGACACUGGGAUGGUGGCCCUGCCUUCUCCAGCUCAGCUCAGCUCAGCUCAGCUAAGAACAAUCAAGGUCAGGUCAGCUCCCAGAUCAACCCAAGGACCCUUGGGAGACUCUGCCCCCAACAGGAUAAAACCCAAGCCCCAUGGAUUGAGGGUCCCACCCUGAAGCUGAAUCUAUCAGACUAGGAUUUCUUCUGCCAGAUUAAAGGCCAUUUGCCUUGAUGAAUUGAGCAGCUUGGUGAUCUCUCUGAUUACUCUCAACAUUACACCGUCAUGCCCAUGCUGUGGACUCUCCUGUUCCCACGAUGUAUCUCCAAACAGUGCAAUAAAAAUCCUUAUUUUUA
Molecule: long non-coding RNA, 401 nt
Filed under: Homo sapiens (human)
Lineage: Eukaryota; Metazoa; Chordata; Mammalia; Primates; Hominidae
Description: HSALNT0401071
Source: RNAcentral